AGAGUUAAGUUUUCUUUGGGGUGAAAUUAGGACUGAAGUCCUGGAGACAGCAUCUCAGGCAGCCUGAAAAACUGCUUGCAGGCAGUGAGGGGGAGCUGGGUAAUAGAGGAGGGUUUGCAACAAGGGGCAGGGAGCAGGACAAAAAGAGGCCUGGGCUCCCCGAAAUCCUUCCUUUGACAGGCACCUCCACUCUCAGGGCAGGAUCCUGAGUGUGCACAGCCUGCAGGACUCACCUGCUCUCACCCCUGGAGGUGACUGAUUCCCAGAUGACCCGGACAUUCUUCAUCCUUAGCUACAGACCUGCGGAAAUACCACCCAGGGAGGAAAAGGGGGAACAGCAGGAUGUGAUCAAGCGGAGGGGGAGGGGCCUGCAGCACACACACAUUCUACAGAAGUUUGUGGCUGAUCUCCUGAAGGUCACUGCCAGUCCCAAGGAGCAGACAUCACCAUGAAGGAUUUCAGGGUUUUUCCAGAUAGGAGAUGCAAGAAUGGGGCACAUAAAAUCAUCUCCUAAUAAUAUCUGAGUCUCUGAAGGCCUGUUCUUCCACUUUUCCUAGAGCUCGGAUUCCCCACUCCUGGUCCCACCUGGAGCUCUGCUCAGGGGGAGCUACAGGUCUGCAGCUGCAGUGGCUCCUGUUUUACUCCAUGUAAGAGGCUGACGGCAGGUGCCAAACUUCAGCUCACAGGGCUCCCCCGGGGUCAUAAAUUCGACCAGAGCUCUGAGAGGCAGUUCAUGACCAUUUCGUCCCCAAGGUGCUAGGAAUGCGCACUCCCACGUCUGGCAACGAUUUCACAGACAGGCUUUUAGUGGACUAGGCGUUAUUAACAGUAGCUCAAAGUCUCUGAAACGUCUGUCUUCCUAGUCUGUUAUGGUCCAGGAAAAUACUCCCUCUUGUUGCAUCUUCCCAUAGCCAGGGUUACUCUCUCACCGUGGUUGGUCUGGUAAGAAGAACUGUUUCAAAUCUCCCAGGCAUCAUUACUUUGUUGGAGGCUCAGUUACACAUUUAACAAUACAAGAAACCAUCACCUUGUAAAACAGGCAAAAUACAAUGUAGCUGAUGCCAUUAAACUGUACGUAAAUCCUUAAGCCGAGCAAAUCUCACAGCAAACCAGUUCCUAAAGAUGGCAUCAAGACUAGGAAGUGGGCCCCUCAAAGCAGCAUAGAGACCUCAGAAUUUGGUACCCCAAUCGUCUGUUUACUAUCACUUAAAUCUGUUGGUACAUUUUGUGAAGGCUUCCAUAUGACUGAUACACAUUCUAAUCCUAUUCAAAGUACAAAAAUGGCUGGGAGAUUAUCAUACUAGCUGAAUGCACCUCUCUCGACCCAUUAGGCUUGCAUCAGUGAUGGACUGGUUGGUGUCAUCUUUUGAUUAUUACGAAUGUGGACUUAAGUCCUAGGGAAUCCUAGAGUACAUCUUCCUCUCCAUCCUGCUGGAACCCCAAAGCCGUAGAUGGGUACCACGAAUCCACUGAGUUCCACUAGGUGCCAGCCAGUGACUCUCUGGUCGCCGGACCCAGUCUGUUCCAUACCAGCCACUGUUUAGUUUAUAAAGGGAAUAAUACAUAGGCUUUGUUUGUAAGGCACCCAGCCAUAUUUCCUAAUGUUAGGAGGUUAUGCUGAUCACGUUUAGUGUAAUUUAAUGAUUCCCAACAUAGGGGACUUUAAACUGAAACAGCCAUAGCCUAGUGCUAACUAUAUAAGUCCAUCCCAUAAUUGUGGGAAGGUCCCUUUUAAUAAGCAGGAGUUACAGGUUUUGAUGGAGACUCAGCUCAUUCUACUGCGUUUGAGUGACCCCGAAGGAAAAUUCCUAUUUAUGUUCAGAGUCAGAGCAGGUGAACAUUAGUUGGCCAAGUGAGAAAAAUCUCAUCCAGUAGUAUCAAUCGUGGCCUGUACAGGACGGAACUCUUUCUUCUAAAAUAACUUCCUAAGGGCCAUCCCAUCGGAACCCUGCAGGGGAGAAGCCCACCCAGGUAACCCGGAAGUCCUGAACACAGGUCACUGGUCACACACCCAACACGUGCACUGAUUUUUAAAAUGACCACAGGAUCAUUCUUCUGAGGGAAGAACACUGGAUCCAUGUGGAAACGUCUAAGGAGUCACUGCAUCACGAAAGGCAUCAGGUCCAGCAUCUGGGGUCAGCUGUCUACCUCCGAGGUUGGCGUCUUCUCAUCCCUGUGUGUCUUCUCCUCCAUGUGAAUAUUGUUUUAAGAUGAUUUUGAGGUCCAGGAGUCCAGUCCAGUCCAGGGGUGACUUUGAGGUCCAGCAGUCCAGUCCAGGGCAGGGGCCUUUGUCGUAAGGGGGGAAACAGGAAUCCAAGAGUCCAUUCCCUUUAUUUUGCUUGCUGCCCAUGAGGUCGUUCCGUGUACCUGGUGAGGGCCUUCCUUUCGGCUUGGAAAUAAUCCUUGAUUUUCCAGUCCUUUCAGUUUGCAUGGUCCCCUUGUCGCAGAUUCCAGGGCGUCUGAUCUUCAUCCAAGAACAGGUCACUGAGACACACUUUAGAAACAAGCUUCAGAAUGUUCCUUCAGAAGCUCAGUUCAGCUUUGCAGCGAUAGAACAGACAGCAAAGAACAAUCUAGGAAGUAAGUCUUCGUCAUACCGGCUGCAAUGAAAAGAAUUCGAUGAACAGAUUUAGCACAUGUCCAUUGAAACAUCUCUUUCUCUCUAAAAUUACUCUUGUUUUUAUCAAAUAUAGCCAAACCAAGACUGAUUCAUCUGCCGAUCAAGUCUGGUGUCAACAACCUCGGCCGGAUGAUUUAUUUAUGGAAAUAUAAUUGAUCAUACAGGGUUUUCAAAAAAUUGGCUUUGCUAGAACUUUUACAAGGAAUCUCAGGCUAAGGGAUUACAAGGCAGCUCAGGGCUAGGAACAUCACGCCUAGGGCUUGUCAGACAUUUUCUCUUCAAGAUCUAGGUCAAUUCCUCGCUUUUCAAAAACCCAAAUACCUUGCAGUUUCUGCAGGCUACACACCAGGAGGCCCUCCUAACUGAUCCGAUAAAGCUGCUGGGAACCUGAGAGUUUCCACUCUCCGAAGGGAUCAGGCAGAGAGAGGAGAGAAAUGUUUCAAUCCUGCUUCCAAAGGGAUAAUUUACCAAACCGCUCGAUGGGGAGAAUCUUUAUACCUGGAAAGCACAGAUGAAAAGCCAGUCCUGUUUCAAAGAGAAACCAUAAAAUUAUAACCAUAUGCCCCAGUUCACACAGCUCAAUGUAACCAAUCCUUUUUGUUUAACUGUUUAUGAAACCAUCACCUUUCCUUGUAGAAUUCUUUCAUUUCUUACCAAGCUCAUCAUUAAGGUCUGGAAGUCAGAAACUUGUAUUUCUUUAAUAAAAAGUCCUUCCUGUAGCUCUUCUUGAAGAGGAAGCAUUUUUGCAGAGGCAUCAAAGUCAUUAACUGUUACAAUGACAAAAGACUUAAGGCACAUUUAAAUCUGAUUACAGUGCAAAUGAACUAGAAAAUGUGGUUACUGUUGUGACAUGGAACGUUUUGAAAUAACUAGAAAAAGAUUAUUAUAACACAGUACCAGUACAUAGCCAAGUUUCAGAAACUGUCAGUUCUAGAAUAUUUAUCUCAAACACAUCAAUUCAACUGUAUAAUCUGAGGUUUAUCACCCAUUUGAUAAGGCUCCCCAUGUAUUUUAACAUACCAAAUAAUUCUAGUUAAUUUAACAUUGUUUUUCCUUUUGGGAUGCCUCAGGGGUCCUGUGAAGCAUUCCAAAGUUAGCUGAGUUAAAAGAACUUUAAUUAGAAUUGGAUUGGAAGUUUAUCAAGAAUAUCAGCUUUUUUUCUUUUAAUUUGGUCAGAUAGAAUCAUAGGUUGCUGUGGAGAAUCCUUUUUCCUUAACCAACGUUACAAGCGAUUGCAAAAGCAAACACAGCAGAUCACUUAAAAGAACGUUCUGUUAUAUAAUCUGUUAUCAAAGUAGCAUUCCAAGGAAACUUUGUUCUCUCAGCAAAGGAAGCCAAGGUCAAGUUUUGCACCUGCUUAUUAUAAAAUCGAUUCACUCAGUUCAGCUCCCUCUAAGCAUGGUUCUGACACUGCAACCCUUCCCUCCGUGUCCACUUCCCACAAACCUCCCAGCAGUUUCUGUAUCCAUUGGUUUGUCCCCUGGUUUCCAUUCCAAACAACAAGCAACAGACAGACUUCCUCUUCUUUUCCCUUGAGGAACGAGAACUCCAUUCCUCAUUCCUUCUUUCCUGAAAACACAUAUCCUGCAAUAGUUCCCAGUUCCCUAAAGUAACCAUGGACAAGUCUUUCAUAAUUUCAAAAAACAUGCGUUUUGUGUGUUUGCUUGUGUCGGGGAGAACACCUCAGGGUGGCUCAGAACCAUCCUUUGUGCCUUUAGUGUCUCUGUGCAGUAAUUAAUGUCUCAGUUUCUUAGUUAUUUGGGAACGACCUAGCUCCUCAAAAAAUUUGAUCAUUUAACAAUCAAGCACAAUUCUAAUUUGCACAGUACCAAUAUCUGGAGAGUGCAUUCUUAAGUAGACAUUUUUAAGAUAACUAUUUCUGAACGUUUAUCCAAAAGCUCUUAUCUCACGUGCAUUUAAUUGCCUUAUAAACAUCUCAUGGUACCAAGUUAUUUUUUCUUGCGAAUAAUUUUGCAACAGAUGUAACAAGAUCUUAUUAGACGUCUCUUAUCCCAGGUACAAUAAAGGUGUUCUAC
This 4656-nucleotide long non-coding RNA is filed under the name Sus scrofa (pig). RNAcentral describes it as "lncRNA (ENSSSCG00000059460.1)". Lineage: Eukaryota; Metazoa; Chordata; Mammalia; Artiodactyla; Suidae. The record is from RNAcentral.